RNAcentral lists this ribosomal RNA (477 nucleotides) under Candidatus Scalindua wagneri. RNAcentral describes it as "bacterial SSU rRNA". It matches the Rfam family "Bacterial small subunit ribosomal RNA", at positions 365 to 832 of the family's 1533-position model. Lineage: Bacteria; Pseudomonadati; Planctomycetota; Candidatus Brocadiia; Candidatus Brocadiales; Candidatus Scalinduaceae. The record is from RNAcentral.
UUCGCAAUGCCCGAAAGGGUGACGAUGCGACGCCGCGUGAGCGAAGAAGGCCCUAGGGUUGUAAAGCUCUGUCGAGGGUUAUGAAAUAUAGAUGGGUUAAUACCCCAUUUAUUUGACAAAAGCCCAAAAGGAAGCCACGGCUAACUCUGUGCCAGCAGCCGCGGUAAUACAGAGGUGGCAAGCGUUGUUCGGUAUUAUUGGGCGUAAAGAGCACGUAGGUUGUUUUGUAAGUCAGGUGUGAAAGCCUUCUGUUCAAAGGAAGAACGGCAUCUGAAACUGCAGAUCUUGAGUGUAGGAGGGGAGAGUGGAACUUCUGGUGGAGCGGUGAAAUGCGUAGAUAUCAGAAGGAACGCCGGCGGCGAAAGCGAUUCUCUGGCCUAUUACUGACACUCAGUGUGCGAAAGCUAGGGGAGCAAACGGGAUUAGAUACCCCGGUAGUCCUAGCCGUAAACGAUGGGCACUAAGUAGAGGGGUUUU